GUGCCUGUGGCUCAAAGGAAUAGAGUGCUGGCCCCAUAUGCCAGAGGUGGCAGGUUCAAACCCAGCCCUGGCCA
Molecule: non-coding RNA, 74 nt
Organism: Otolemur garnettii (small-eared galago)
Lineage: Eukaryota; Metazoa; Chordata; Mammalia; Primates; Galagidae
Source: Rfam